ACCGGGAUCGGUUGCCGGUCGAGUCGUUCGACUUGUGCUCCGGCUGCCGCGUGGUCGAGCCGGCUCGGUUCUAUGCCGUGCUCCGAUGC
This 89-nucleotide transfer RNA is filed under the name Planctomycetia bacterium. Its description in RNAcentral is "tRNA-Thr". The record is from RNAcentral. Lineage: Bacteria; Pseudomonadati; Planctomycetota; Planctomycetia.